This 498-nucleotide ribosomal RNA is filed under the name uncultured Acidobacteriota bacterium. Its description in RNAcentral is "bacterial SSU rRNA". It matches the Rfam family "Bacterial small subunit ribosomal RNA", at positions 381 to 896 of the family's 1533-position model. The record is from RNAcentral. Lineage: Bacteria; Pseudomonadati; Acidobacteriota.
CCCUGAUGCAGCGACGCCGCGUGAGCGAUGAAGCCCUUCGGGGUGUAAAGCUCUUUCGUCGGGGACGAUAAUGACGGUACCCGGAGAAGAAGCUGCGGCUAACUACGUGCCAGCAGCCGCGGUAAUACGUAGGCAGCGAGCGUUGUUCGGAAUUACUGGGCGUAAAGAGUGCGUAGGCGGUUGGCUAAGUUUGGUGUGAAAUCUCCCGGCUUAACUGGGAGGGUGCGCCGAAAACUGGCCGGCUAGAGUGUGGGAGAGGGAAGUGGAAUUCCUGGUGUAGCGGUGAAAUGCGUAGAUAUCAGGAGGAACACCUGCGGUGUAGGACGGCUUCCUGGACCAUUACUGACGCUGAGGCACGAAAGCGUGGGGAGCAAACAGGAUUAGAUACCCUGGUAGUCCACGCCCUAAACGAUGCGGACUUGGUGUUCGCCCUUCAUUGGGUGAGUGCCGUAGCUAACGCGUUAAGUCCGCCGCCUGGGGAGUACGGUCGCAAGGCUG